This 478-nucleotide ribosomal RNA is filed under the name uncultured bacterium. RNAcentral describes it as "partial 16S ribosomal RNA". It matches the Rfam family "Bacterial small subunit ribosomal RNA", at positions 28 to 507 of the family's 1533-position model. The record is from RNAcentral.
GAUGAACGCUGGCGGCGUGCCUAACACAUGCAAGUCGAACGGAGUCCAGCCUUUAAGACCUUCGGGUCAAAGAGGGGAAGACUGAGUGGCGGACGGGUGAGUAACACGUGGGCAACCUGGCUCAUAGAGGGGGAUAACAGAGAGAAAUUUCUGCUAAUACCGCAUAAGCACACACUGCCGCAUGGCAGAGGGUGAAAAGAGAAUCGCUAUGAGAUGGACCCGCGUCUGAUUAGCCAGUUGGCAGGGUAAGAGCCUACCAAAGCGACGAUCAGUAGCCGAUCUGAGAGGAUGAACGGCCACAUUGGGACUGAGACACGGCCCAAACUCCUACGGGAGGCAGCAGUGGGGGAUAUUGCACAAUGGGGGGAACCCUGAUGCAGCGACGCCGCGUGAGUGAAGAAGUAUUUCGGUAUGUAAAGCUAUAUCAGCAGGGAAGAUAAUGACAGUACCUGAAUAAGAAGCCCCGGCUAACUACGUG